AACGUAGGACGCAAGCGUUAUCCGGAGUUACUGGGCGUAAAGGGCUCGUAGGCGGCCAACUAAGUCGGACGUGAAAUCCCCAGGCUCAACCUGGGAACUGCGUCUGAUACUGGAUGGCUUGAAUCCGGGAGAGGGAUGCAGAAUUCCAGGUGUAGCGGUGAAAUGCGUAGAUAUCUGGAGGAAUACCGGUGGCGAAGGCGCAUCCUGGACCGGCAUUGACGCUGAGGAGCGAAAGCCAGGGGAGCAAACGGG
This 252-nucleotide ribosomal RNA is filed under the name uncultured bacterium. RNAcentral's name for it is "partial 16S ribosomal RNA". It matches the Rfam family "Bacterial small subunit ribosomal RNA", at positions 524 to 776 of the family's 1533-position model. The record is from RNAcentral.